Molecule: ribosomal RNA, 444 nt
Filed under: uncultured bacterium
Lineage: Bacteria
Description: bacterial SSU rRNA
Rfam family: Bacterial small subunit ribosomal RNA
Source: RNAcentral
ACGAACGCUGGCGGCAGGCUUAACACAUGCAAGUCGAAGGUGAAGCGGGACUUCGGUCCCGUGGAAACUGGCGCACGGGUGAGUAACGCGUGGGAAUCUACCCCGGGGUGGGGAAUAACCAUUGGAAGCGAUGGCUAAUACCGCAUACGCCUUUAGAGGGAAAGCUAUAUGCGCCCUGGGAUGAGCCCGCGUCGGAUUAGGUAGUUGGUGGGGUAAUGGCCUACCAAGCCGACGAUCCGUAGCUGGUCUGAGAGGAUGAUCAGCCACACUGGGACUGAGACACGGCCCAGACUCCUACGGGAGGCAGCAGUGGGGAAUAUUGGACAAUGGGGGGAACCCUGAUCCAGCCAUGCCGCGUGCGUGAAGAAGGCCUUAGGGUUGUAAAGCGCUUUCGGCGGGGAAGAUGAUGACGGUACCCGCAGAAGAAGCCCCGGCUAACUCCGU